CGGGUGAGUACCGCGUGGUAAUCUACCGUGCCCUACGGAAUAGCUCCGGGAAACUGGAAUUAAUACCGUAUACGCCCUACGGGGGAAAGAUUUAUCGGGGUAUGAUGAGCCCGCGUUGGAUUAGCUAGUUGGUGGGGUAAAGGCCUACCAAGGCGACGAUCCAUAGCUGGUCUGAGAGGACGAUCAGCCACAUUGGGACCGAGACACGGCCCAAACUCCUACGGUCGGCAGCAGUGGGGAAUUUUGGACAAUGGGCGCAAGCCUCGAUCCAGCCAUGCCGCGUGAGUGAUGAAGGUCUUAGGAUUGUAAAGCUCUUUCACCGGUGAAGAUAAUGACGGUAACCGGAGAAGAAGCCCCGGCUAACUUCGUGCCAGCAGCCGCCGUAAUACGAAAGAUGCUAGCGUUGUUCGGAAUUACUGGGCGUAAAGCGCACGUAGGCGGUUAUUUAAGUCAGGGGUGAAAUCCCAGAGCUCAACUCUGGAACUGCCUUUGAUACUGGGUAUCUUGAGUAUGGAAGUGGUGAGUGGAAUUCCAGAGUGUAGAGGUGAAAAUUCGUACGAUAUUCGGCGGAACACCAGUGGCGAAGGCCGCUCA
RNAcentral lists this ribosomal RNA (594 nucleotides) under uncultured bacterium. RNAcentral's name for it is "bacterial SSU rRNA". It matches the Rfam family "Bacterial small subunit ribosomal RNA", at positions 103 to 728 of the family's 1533-position model. The record is from RNAcentral.